This 411-nucleotide ribosomal RNA is filed under the name uncultured microorganism. Its description in RNAcentral is "bacterial SSU rRNA". It matches the Rfam family "Bacterial small subunit ribosomal RNA", at positions 9 to 416 of the family's 1533-position model. The record is from RNAcentral.
GAGUUUGAUCCUGGCUCAGAGUGAACGCUGGCGGUAGGCCUAACACAUGCAAGUCGAACGGCAGCACAGUAAGAGCUUGCUCUUAUGGGUGGCGAGUGGCGGACGGGUGAGGAAUACAUCGGAAUCUACUUUUUCGUGGGGAUAACGUAGGGAAACUUACGCUAAUACCGCAUACGACCUACGGGUGAAAGCAGGGGAUCUUCGGACCUUGCGCGAUUGAAUGAGCCGAUGUCGGAUUAGCUAGUUGGCGGGGUAAAGGCCCACCAAGGCGACGAUCCGUAGCUGGUCUGAGAGGAUGAUCAGCCACACUGGAACUGAGACACGGUCCAGACUCCUACGGGAGGCAGCAGUGGGAAUAUUGGACAAUGGGCGCAAGCCUGAUCCAGCCAUACCGCGUGGGUGAAGAAGGCC